GGUUAUACGAGUAACUCACAUUAAUACUUCACGGCGUAAAGGGUGAUUAAAAGUUUCUAAAAAGUACUAAAGUUAUAACCUUAUAAAGCUGUCAUACGCACCUAUAAAAGGAAUAAUACACUAACGAAAGUGACUUUAACUAGAUAGAGCU
This 151-nucleotide ribosomal RNA is filed under the name Raja maderensis (Madeiran ray). Its description in RNAcentral is "partial small subunit ribosomal RNA". The record is from RNAcentral. Lineage: Eukaryota; Metazoa; Chordata; Chondrichthyes; Rajiformes; Rajidae.